This 253-nucleotide ribosomal RNA is filed under the name Salinimicrobium xinjiangense. RNAcentral's name for it is "partial 16S ribosomal RNA". It matches the Rfam family "Bacterial small subunit ribosomal RNA", at positions 524 to 776 of the family's 1533-position model. The record is from RNAcentral. Lineage: Bacteria; Pseudomonadati; Bacteroidota; Flavobacteriia; Flavobacteriales; Flavobacteriaceae. RNAcentral also lists the same sequence under 1 other name.
UACGGAGGAUCCAAGCGUUAUCCGGAAUCAUUGGGUUUAAAGGGUCCGUAGGCGGGUGCGUAAGUCAGUGGUGAAAGUCUGCAGCUCAACUGUAGAACUGCCAUUGAUACUGCACACCUUGAGUAAUUAUGAAGUGGUUAGAAUAUGUAGUGUAGCGGUGAAAUGCAUAGAUAUUACAUAGAAUACCGAUUGCGAAGGCAGAUCACUAAUAAUUUACUGACGCUGAUGGACGAAAGCGUAGGUAGCGAACAGG